GGGGGCGGUCAAAAGGGACUGAGAAAAGAGACUUGAAGGGGUGGACUCCAUUUAGAUUGGAUGGGAGGGGACUAGGAGAAGUGACUCAAGUAGAAGAAAUUAUUACAUGCACCAGAUGCAAGUGAACCAAGGCAAAUCUCAAAGCAUAUGCACGGUGGAUAGCACGCAAUUGGGAAUUGGUGAAAUACAAGGGAUAGCAUGGCAUGUUAUGCACCAGAGGAU
RNAcentral lists this long non-coding RNA (222 nucleotides) under Elaeis guineensis (African oil palm). Its description in RNAcentral is "long non-coding RNA (EGUI_LNC046191)". The record is from RNAcentral. Lineage: Eukaryota; Viridiplantae; Streptophyta; Magnoliopsida; Arecales; Arecaceae.